UACGUAGGGCGCAAGCGUUGUCCGGAAUUAUUGGGCGUAAAGAGCUCGUAGGCGGUCUGUCGCGUCCGUUGUGAAAACUCGAGGCUCAACCUCGGGCUUGCAGUGGAUACGGGCAGACUAGAGUGCGGUAGGGGAGACUGGAAUUCCUGGUGUAGCGGUGGAAUGCGCAGAUAUCGGGAGGAACACCAGUGGCGAAGGCGGCAUCCUGGCCAUGUCCUGACGCUCAGGGGCGAAAGCGUGGGGAGCAAACCGG
RNAcentral lists this ribosomal RNA (253 nucleotides) under uncultured bacterium. RNAcentral's name for it is "partial 16S ribosomal RNA". It matches the Rfam family "Bacterial small subunit ribosomal RNA", at positions 524 to 776 of the family's 1533-position model. The record is from RNAcentral.